UAUUCCUUCCUCGUACCUUCCCUUUCUUAGCCAUGCCCCUCACUCUCUCUCUCUCUCUCUCUCUCUCUCUUACAGUCUUUCAGGGUCAUAGUAUAUAAGGAGACCUCUGGGUGUUACUUUCUGCAUCGGUAUUUGGUUUCUUCCAUAAUUUGCAUGAAAGCUUCUUUUUUUUUUUUUUCAUACAUGUAUAAUAAUUAAGUUUGUGUAUAUUCUUGUGCUCUUGUACAAGAAGAAUGAACCUUUUGGGAAUACCUUCAACAAAAACUUGUGGGUUUUGCAGGAUUAAUUGAAGCACCAUUCAGGGUUUUAUGUACUAAUUUUUAUUUUCAUUUUCUAUUUUUGUAUAUGCUUUUGGUCCUUUGAUAGUACUAGUGGUAGAGUAAUCCUUCUCAUCCGGUAUAUUUAUGGUUUUUGUUAGCAAGUUAAAUGGAAGGUAUAGAAGGAGCUCUUCUUCAGUCCAGUUCGAGUCAGAUAUGGCUGACACUCAGCUGCUGACUCGUUGGUUCAAGAGCUCAUCAUGAAAAAGGGAAGUGCAUGGAACGUGGUGUGUUUCUGAUCCAACGAUGCAGGAGCCGCGUUCGGCUUUCGCUGUCACGACUUGGACUGAAGGGAGCUCCCUCUUUUUAUUUUAUUUGUUUGCUGAAAGGAGCUUCCUCUUUUUAAUUCCCACAUUAAUCCAUCUAUAUUAUUAUAUAUUGGAUUAAUUUUACUUCGAAGUCCUACCAUAAAAUGUAUAAUUCUUUAGAGGCUGUGCUCUGAGUGUGUGUUUUGUUUAGAUAGAAUAUUUUAUAUGCUUUGUUUUUUAUUUUGUUUUUGUUUUUUUUUUUUUUCUAAAUUGAUUUUUGUGCAUCUAUCUAUGCAUCAUCCAUGCUUCUUUGUUAUAUAUACAUAUAUAUAUAUAUAUAUAUAUAUAUAUGCAGGUAGCGGCAGGUGAAAUAUGUGGUGGACAGAAAAUGUUUUUUGUCUGGGCAAUAAAGACGGAUUGGGUUUUUCGCAGUGUGUAAAGAUUGAUUAGGAGUUCGGUCAUGGGGUUGUGGAGAAUACAUAGUUUUAAUCUAAAAAGGAGGAGAAGGUGGGUGAUUCGGGCCAACAAACUGUCUCAAGUAGUGCCCUACCGUUUAAAGUGGUGCAAAGUGUGAAUGAAGUGCAUACCAUUAGACUAACUACACUUGUCUAUUCAACAACCAAUUUGCAGGCUAUUUUGUAACUUUGGGUUCCUAAUUCAUUUAAUUAGCUGUGUGAUAUUAUUUACCUGAAGAGAAUAUACUUUCAUUGGUCACACAGUAAUACAUCUAAUUUAUGUUUUAAUAAGAAACAUGUUUCUUGUG
Molecule: long non-coding RNA, 1328 nt
Organism: Ziziphus jujuba (common jujube)
Lineage: Eukaryota; Viridiplantae; Streptophyta; Magnoliopsida; Rosales; Rhamnaceae
Exons: 2
Source: RefSeq, a predicted model, not a curated record